CAUCCCCACAUUUCAUUUCGAGAAUUUGACCCCAUUUCAAAUCCCUAACUUCAUUCAUAUCUCAUUCAUCAGGCCGUGUGAUGGAUUCUCUCCAUUUUAUUUCUGGACAUGACUUCUCUUCUUCAAGCAAUAAAAAUUCACGAAAAAAUUCCAGAAUUGUUUUUCAUCUACGUAGUUUUCUGCUGGAUCUUGAUUUUAAAUUCGCGGACGCUUCAUUUCACGUUGAAAUUGCUGCUUCAAUUCAAAGAAUCCUAGUCAUGGCUCAAAACCCAGGUAAAAGAAUUUCUUUAAAUCCCCAUUUUAUAAAUUUAUUUCAUGUUUAAAUGUGGAAGCCUCAUAUUUGCUGGGUAUUAUUCGUUUCCAUCUUAAUGAAGGAAAACGACGACGAAAGUAAUAUCAUAGUUUGAUUUGCAUUUGUACAAGAUAUCGUAAUUAAACAGUAGGGAUUUGAUUGAAAUUGUGGGUCAUGGAUCAAUAUAAUUGCUCAUAUUUAUUGGGCAUUACUCUUUUCUAUCGUAAA
Molecule: long non-coding RNA, 520 nt
Organism: Olea europaea var. sylvestris
Lineage: Eukaryota; Viridiplantae; Streptophyta; Magnoliopsida; Lamiales; Oleaceae
Exons: 2
Source: RefSeq, a predicted model, not a curated record